UUUUCGGUGGCGAUAGCGUAGGGGUCACACCUGUUCCCAUCCCGAACACAGAAGUUAAGCCCUACAGCGCCGAUGAUACUGCACGGGAGACUGUGUGGGAAAGUAGGUCGCCGCCGGAAU
RNAcentral lists this ribosomal RNA (120 nucleotides) under Geoalkalibacter ferrihydriticus. Lineage: Bacteria; Pseudomonadati; Thermodesulfobacteriota; Desulfuromonadia; Desulfuromonadales; Geoalkalibacteraceae. The record is from RNAcentral.